ACUCCUACGGGAGGCAGCAGUGGGGAAUAUUGGGCAAUGGGGGAAACCCUGACCCAGCAACGCCGCGUGAAGGAAGAAGGUCUUCGGAUUGUAAACUUCUUUGAUCAGGGACGAAGAAAUGACUGUACCUGAAGAACAAGUCACGGCUAACUACGUGCCAGCAGCCGCGGUAAUACGUAGGUGGCAAGCGUUAUCCGGAUUUACUGGGUGUAAAGGGCGUGUAGGCGGGUCUGCAAGUCAGAUGUGAAAUCUCCGGGCUUAACUCGGAAGUGUCAUCUGAAACUACGGAUCUUGAGUACUGGAGAGGAUAGUGGAAUUCCUAGUGUAGCGGUAAAAUGCGUAGAUAUUAGGAGGAACACCAGUGGCGAAGGCGGCUAUCUGGACAGUAACUGACGCUGAGGCGCGAAAGCGUGGGGAGCAAACAGGAUUAGAUACCCUGGUAGUC
This 445-nucleotide ribosomal RNA is filed under the name uncultured bacterium. RNAcentral describes it as "bacterial SSU rRNA". It matches the Rfam family "Bacterial small subunit ribosomal RNA", at positions 335 to 795 of the family's 1533-position model. The record is from RNAcentral.